UCCGAGUUGACCCCGGCAGUCUCCUGCGAGUCCCCGCCAUUACGCGCUGGCAACACAGGACAAGGGUUGCGCUCGUUGCGGGACUUAACCCAACAUCUCACGACACGAGCUGACGACAGCCAUGCAGCACCUGUGCACGGACUCCGAAGAGGGGCCGAUGUUUCCACCGGCUUUCCCGUGCAUGUCAAGCCUUGGUAAGGUUCUUCGCGUUGCGUCGAAUUAAACCACAUGCUCCGCUGCUUGUGCGGGUCCCCGUCAAUUCCUUUGAGUUUUAGCCUUGCGGCCGUACUCCCCAGGCGGGGUGCUUAAUGCGUUAGCUUCGGCACGGAUGGAGUCGACACCACCCACACCUAGCACCCAUCGUUUACGGCGUGGACUAC
This 380-nucleotide unclassified non-coding RNA is filed under the name uncultured Actinomycetes bacterium. RNAcentral's name for it is "uncultured actinobacterium contains 16S-23S intergenic spacer region". The record is from RNAcentral. Lineage: Bacteria; Bacillati; Actinomycetota; Actinomycetes.